GGAAGCAGAGACUCAGGCCAGAACAUUCGGAAUGCCUACUGUGUGCUCGCAGCGUGUUCUGCAGACCUAGCGGGUAUGUAAGAGGUGCCCGACUCACCCAGCACAGGGAGCCUGCGUGCGGCCGGGAGCCACCUGUGUUCCCUACAAGAUUCAUGCAGAUUCUUCUCCCAUAAGGUAAUUACAGAGCACUAAGCAGAGCUCCUGGUGCUACAUGGCAGGUCCUCAUCUACAUGGUUGGUUAACACCAAGCGGAGCAUGCUGACC
Cervus elaphus (red deer) is the source of this 264-nucleotide long non-coding RNA. RefSeq lists it as uncharacterized. NCBI's taxonomy places the organism in Eukaryota, Metazoa, Chordata, Mammalia, Artiodactyla, Cervidae. The record is from RefSeq and is a predicted model, not a curated record. The transcript has 3 exons.